CCAACAGCGAUGGCUGCAAACCCUUGGAGGUGGCAUUGCCAAAAGCGGACGUCAAUAGAUGUAAUGCAAAAAUAGUGUCUUGUGUUCAAAAAAGGUUGGGAAAUACUGAGUGAAAGAAUAGUGCACAAACCAUAGGCACACAGCUCAAGGAAUUAUCAGGAAUUGAACAUGUCCACGUGUGCCCAACCCAGCUCUCCAGCACACCUUCCCAGCCUCAACCCAUCAUCUGGAUUCUGAGGAACAGUGCCUGCUGCUCAGUCAAUGCCUGAUGAUGGAGUGAACAGAUUUCUGCUUUCUGUGGCCACCUCUGGGCCACAGAAAGGCCCAGAGGUUACAAGCAACCUCUGGUCUUUGAAGAAGGAGCAAAAGGACAGAGAAGUAUGAAAAGGAGCCCCGUUUGGAUGCACCCACUGAGCACUGAAGGGGAGGACUCUUAGGUGGCCCCAUCCUUUGCAAACAGGCUCAGUGGUUCUCCCGCGCUCACCCCAAGGCCCAGAAUCCAUGCAUACAUGUAGGGUGGGGCAGGCCGGCUCACGCUGACACGUCCAGCCUCUGCCCAGCUCCUCUGCUGGAGUCUCUGCAGGGAAUUUGGCAGAGCUUGGUCAUUCCUUCACUAAUUCAGCCGUUGUAGAAAAGCCACCCAGUUAACAGGUCUGAGCCAUUUCCUCUCAUCCUGGGGACUAGAGGUGACUGCCACUUUGAGGCCAGUUAAGAGUUCUUGGCCCUUCCUGGAAACCCUGCACUGCUGGGAAGUGGGUGGACACACACUUCUGAGAAUGAAUUCCAAGCGAAUUUUCCCAUCAUUUCUUUCCCCCUAGCAGUGCAAGGCUGGGGCACACAGGGAGAGAAUGUCUCUCUCACAUGUCAACUCCCAUGGUCUCAACUAGGCCUCGGGGGAAAGAGAAUGGGGCAUUCCAGGAUGGGAAUUCCAGGGUGGGCAUUCCAAGGAGUAAGAGGAAUUCUGGGAAGGAGGACACUCGUGAUGCAUGCAUGGCCCAUCCAGAAGGUCCAGGAUCAUCUCCCCAGCCCAAGCCUUUAAUCACAUCUGCGAAGACCCCCCUCUUCCUAUAGAAGGUGACACGGUCCCAGGUUCUGGGAAUUAGGACACAGACACCUCUGUUCAGCUGACCACAGCCACUGGGGGACCCACUGUUGAUCCCCCAUCCAUUCUGAUAAAGGCUUUCAUGAUGUCAGAAACCAUGAACAGCUCAUCUCCUGAUCCUCCACUGCGAGUUUGUGAGCAUCUUAGGGGCGACAUCUGAGGGUCCAUCCUGGUGUUGAUGUGUCAUAGGUGUGGGGGCCUGGUCUGAGGCUGAACGCGCAGCAGGACCAGCCUCUGGCCCUCCCCAGCUGGAAGGGGGGAGUUUUGCACAUCUUGCUCUAUAGCUCACUCUCCCCUGCUGCUCCCACUGAGGCAGUGAGUUCCAGACUGCUCUGGGGGUUACAAGCAACCUCCGGUAUUUGCAGAAGGAGAAAAAGGGCAGAGAAGUAUUAAAAGGAGCCCAAUUUGGAUGUAUCCACUGAGCACUGAAGGGGAGAACUCUUAGGUGGCCCUGUCUCUUUGCAAAUAGCCUCAGGCACUGCAGGCCCCUGAGGCAGCCCCCAGCUGGGACCCUCACUCAGCUCAGCUCAGCUCACAACAGGUAGCAGAGCUGUGCCGACCAGGUAGCCUUGCCCUCCUGGGAAGACAGGGACACCUGCACGAGCCUGAGCCCUCUAGUGGAAACAGCAGCCAUCGGCCAUCAGGCCUCUGCAGGCACCUGGUCCCUCCUGUUGUUGUCUGCACAGCCUGCCCCUCCAGGCCGCCCCCACGCCUGGGUUCUGCCUGCACGCCCAGGCUCAGUGGGGAGGAGUGAGCCCAACAACUGUUUCCCAACCCUGUGCAGACAGAGCCCUGGCAUCUCACCGUCCCUUCCAAAUGCCAGAACCCGCCCUGGGCACCCAUGCCCUGAUGGGUCCCAGCCCCGGGUGACGCCCUCCUUGCAUGGAGUAGGGACCCAAGCAUAUGCGGAAACACUGUGGCCGGGCCCAGGCUCUCUCUCAGUUUUGACACUGUUGCAGGCCUGAUGACCCUUGGGGACACAGUCUCACUGGGUGGCAAGAUGUCCAUUCAGAAUAAAAUAAAAUUAAAAAUUAAAUUAAAACUCAACAAGCUCGUGCACAUGCAGUCACCUGCAUAUUUUGCA
This 2186-nucleotide long non-coding RNA is filed under the name Homo sapiens (human). RNAcentral's name for it is "HSALNT0289953". The record is from RNAcentral. Lineage: Eukaryota; Metazoa; Chordata; Mammalia; Primates; Hominidae.